RNAcentral lists this long non-coding RNA (268 nucleotides) under Elaeis guineensis (African oil palm). RNAcentral's name for it is "long non-coding RNA (EGUI_LNC027081)". Lineage: Eukaryota; Viridiplantae; Streptophyta; Magnoliopsida; Arecales; Arecaceae. The record is from RNAcentral.
CCCAAACUCAUAGGCCUGUUGAAUUUUCUCAGCUUUUUCCACACUAGAUUAACUACAUACCAUAUAGAUCAACCUUUUGGUUGUUUGACAUUUAAAACAGAUGGUGAAUAGUACCAGUCAGCCAUGUAACUCCUACCAUACUGGAGUUCAAUAGCUAACCAACAUAUAUGCUGGCAGCUUACAUGUUAAGAUUGUGAAUGCAGGGAUUAAGCCAGCACUUGGAAUAGUUAUAACCUAUGAUUCUUAUGCAGACAAAAGUUAUGCCAGC